Molecule: ribosomal RNA, 471 nt
Filed under: Bacillus sp. SB1(2014)
Lineage: Bacteria; Bacillati; Bacillota; Bacilli; Caryophanales; Bacillaceae
Description: bacterial SSU rRNA
Rfam family: Bacterial small subunit ribosomal RNA
Source: RNAcentral
CGCCAACUUAAGGGGCCGCCAUAUAAUGGCAAGUCGAGCGGAUGGAUUAAAGAGCUUGCUCUUAUGAAGUUAGCAGGCGGACGGGUGAGUAACACGUGGGUAACCUGCCCAUAAGACUGGGAUAACUCCGGGAAACCGGGGCUAAUACCGGAUAACAUUUUGAACCGCAUGGUUCGAAAUUGAAAGGCGGCUUCGGCUGUCACUUAUGGAUGGACCCGCGUCGCAUUAGCUAGUUGGUGAGGUAACGGCUCACCAAGGCAACGAUGCGUAGCCGACCUGAGAGGGUGAUCGGCCACACUGGGACUGAGACACGGCCCAGACUCCUACGGGAGGCAGCAGUAGGGAAUCUUCCGCAAUGGACGAAAGUCUGACGGAGCAACGCCGCGUGAGUGAUGAAGGCUUUCGGGUCGUAAAACUCUGUUGUUAGGGAAGAACAAGUGCUAGUUGAAUAAGCUGGCACCUUGACGGUAC